AACGAACGCUGGCGGCGCGCCUAAUACAUGCAAGUCGAGCGAGAAGACGUAGCAAUACGUUUGUAAAGCGGCGAACGGGUGAGGAAUACAUGGGUAACCUACCCUCGAGUGGGGAAUAACUAGCCGAAAGGUUAGCUAAUACCGCGUACGCUCCUUGGACUUCGGUUCAGGGAGGAAAGCGAUACCGUGGGUAUCGCGCUCUUGGAUGGGCUCAUGUCCUAUCAGUUUGUGGUGAGGAACGGCUCACCAAGGCUUCGACGGGUAGCUGGUCUGAGAGGACGAUCAGCCACACUGGCACUGCGACACGGGCCAGACUCCUACGGGAGGCAGCAGUAAGGAAUAUUGCGCAAUGGGCAAAGCCUGACGCAGCGACGCCGCGUGGGGGA
RNAcentral lists this ribosomal RNA (386 nucleotides) under uncultured bacterium. RNAcentral describes it as "bacterial SSU rRNA". It matches the Rfam family "Bacterial small subunit ribosomal RNA", at positions 29 to 408 of the family's 1533-position model. The record is from RNAcentral.